RNAcentral lists this ribosomal RNA (482 nucleotides) under uncultured bacterium. RNAcentral describes it as "partial 16S ribosomal RNA". It matches the Rfam family "Bacterial small subunit ribosomal RNA", at positions 30 to 507 of the family's 1533-position model. The record is from RNAcentral.
AUUGAACGCUGGCGGCAUGCUUUACACAUGCAAGUCGAACGGUAACAGGCCGCAAGGUGCUGACGAGUGGCGCACGGGUGAGUAAUGCAUCGGAACGUGCCCAGUCGUGGGGGAUAACUACUCGAAAGAGUAGCUAAUACCGCAUACGAUCUAUGGAUGAAAGCGGGGGACCGUAAGGCCUCGCGCGAUUGGAGCGGCCGAUGUCAGAUUAGGUAGUUGGUGGGGUAAAGGCUCACCAAGCCAACGAUCUGUAGCUGGUCUGAGAGGACGACCAGCCACACUGGGACUGAGACACGGCCCAGACUCCUACGGGAGGCAGCAGUGGGGAAUUUUGGACAAUGGGCGCAAGCCUGAUCCAGCAGUGCCGCGUGCAGGAAGAAGGCCUUCGGGUUGUAAACUGCUUUUGUACGGAACGAAACGGCUCUGGUUAAUACCCGGGGCUAAUGACGGUACCGUAAGAAUAAGCACCGGCUAACUACGUG